This 2121-nucleotide long non-coding RNA is filed under the name Sarcophilus harrisii (Tasmanian devil). Its description in RNAcentral is "lncRNA (ENSSHAG00000030845.1)". The record is from RNAcentral. Lineage: Eukaryota; Metazoa; Chordata; Mammalia; Dasyuromorphia; Dasyuridae.
CAUUGAAGAUACCUUAGAAAACAGUAUUAAGCAGCCAUAUCUAAUGAGGAUGGGAAAGUAUGUGGCCAAAUUUAGCUUUGGAAGUAACAGAAUUUAGAAUGUAGAAUAAUAAACUUAAGAAUCUAAAACAAAUCAUUCAAAAUAAAAAUAGGUCUGAGAAUAAACUAUUCAAGUACACAGUCUUUCAAAAGUACAAAUGACUCGAGUCCAGUAGAGAACCAAGCUCAAUGGUAUUUAAACGUCUUUUGUACACCACCCCUCACGAUGAGUAGUGAGCUUCAGUAUGAAAUCCAUGAGGUUCUACAGUGGCCUGUGUAGUAUCCUUGGUGUCUUCUGAAAAAGGUCCAAACAAAGGAUGGCAGACAUACUUCUGCCUAGCCAAUCCUUACAGUCUGCACAAAGAGUGGCCUUCAUUAGUAGGUGUUUUUAUCUCCCAGUUGGACAGCUUAGGGCAAGGGAAUGAGAGAUUUCAUUACCUAGUGACUACCUUAAACUAUAAAGAGGCCAACUUUUGGCCAAAAAAGGGUAGAUAUCUCUAGUUACCUUCCUAGAGGUCCUAAAAUUCCAAUUGUCUCAGAACUUUCAGACAGAAAUCAUUAUUACUAAUCGUAAAGAGGGGUGGGUCUUUUGCUCUUAAUAUUGCAUUUACUUAAUGUCAAGAGUUUUAUUUUUAAAAGAGAAGUUCUAUGUGUUGAAUAUAUGUGUGUGUUUUAAAUAUAUGAUCAUCUACACAGCUCUUGAUUCAUACUAAUUCUAGGUUCUUCAAAAACCUGUGAAUCAAUUUUUUCAACUCAGGUGCCAAAAGAAUUUUUCUCAUAUAUCAUGUAAAUAUAUUAAAACUAGUUUUUGAACAAUGGGCUAGAAAUUCUAAAAACUAAAAUGGGCAUCUUCCCUUUCUAUAAAAGCAAAGGUUUGUAGUUUUAUAAUGAUUGUUUCCAUUGUUUUGCCAUCAGUAUUAAGUUAGUGUACUCAAGUGUCAAAAAACUUUAUUAAUGGGGAAUUGGGAAUUGUUUAUAUGUAUCCAUUUUCUAUGUUAAAAUAAAUUCUCACUAGUCCAGAGAUAGCAGUCCACAUCAAUACAUGAAAAUAAGCAAGAAAUGUAAAAUAUUGCAGUAAUCUGAGCACUAAAUAUUUUUGGAGCCUUUCAUAUCAGUUUCUUUUGUUGCUGGAAGAAGCUUACAUUUAGCCAAUCUCUGCUUUCUCCCUUAGUUACAGGGUAUAUUAUAUAUCAAAUUUUAAGUUAAAUUUUUAAAAGUCUUUCAAUUAUCUUCAUCUUCUGAAAUUAAGGCUUAUUGUGAAAAAGACAGUAAAACUUGAAUUAUGGUAGCACUCACCAUGUAAAAUUCCAGUUUCUAUAAAAAUGAAUGUAAGUCCACUUAUAGACAAAGUAAGCAGCACUUUAAACUGUUUACUCCUUUUAUUGUUUCAGAUUAAGUUGAAUCCUAUGAAUGAGAAGGUAUUAUUUUGAAAUAUACACUCAUUAAAAAUUUCUGAUUUUAUUCCAAGAUGUUAAACUUUUCAAGUAUCCUACUUGGAGUGCUUAAAAAAGUUUCACCAUAAAUUGCUUUAAAAACAAGAGAAAAAUAUAAUAGACGAGUACAAUGUUUCAUCAAACCACAGUAAAAGAAUGUCAGAUUUAUAGUUUUUUCCCAUUAUUUUACUUGAUUAGAAUGAUUUUUAAUUUGCUAACUACUUUUCAAAAUAGAGGUCAAUAUGGUUAUAGCUUAAGAUGGACAAACAGCAAUUCUGUAGUAAAUUGUGAAGUUAUCUGACAUUUUAUUAAAUCUUUUUAAAGUGACUUUAAAAAGGUAAAACUGAAAUGAUACAAAAAAAAGAUUUCAAAAAGGUUAAAGAAAUGUUUACUAAAACAUUACAAUUUUUUCUAUGUCCAUUCAGGAUAUACUGGUAAUUAAAAAUUAUUUUAAAUAGUUUUUUUUUUUCAGCCACAAUGAGCAAGGCUAAAUUAGGGAAUCAUUGAAACUAAAUGUAUAGUUUUACUUUUUUCAUUUUUCAAUCACAGUGACUCGUACAAAUCUUAUUUUCAUUUUCUCAAAGGGUCAAAUAACAAAUUAAAAUGGAAAAAAAGUAGGACAUUUUCACCAAUUCAAAAAUGAAGGUCAC